AAGGGAGUUGUGUUGACUAAAGAUAAUCUAGCUAAACGAAACUUGGAAUGGAAUUUAAAAUGUAGUUUAUGUAGUAACUUAGAAACUAUUCAUCACUUUUUCUUUGACUGUUGCUAUGCUAGAUUCAUUUGGAGACUUAUUUACUUCAAGUUUGUCAUAGAACCUCCUAGAAAUGUCACUCGUAUGUUUGGAUCUUGGCUUAAUGGCUUUGACACAUGA
Molecule: ribosomal RNA, 219 nt
Filed under: Triticum aestivum (bread wheat)
Lineage: Eukaryota; Viridiplantae; Streptophyta; Magnoliopsida; Poales; Poaceae
Description: partial small subunit ribosomal RNA
Source: RNAcentral